Small nuclear RNA from Cucurbita maxima (winter squash), 99 nucleotides. The record is from RefSeq and is a predicted model, not a curated record. Lineage: Eukaryota; Viridiplantae; Streptophyta; Magnoliopsida; Cucurbitales; Cucurbitaceae.
UAUUAUCACAAAAUAGUGAAAUUAGGACGAUACAGUGAAGAUUAGUAUGACCUUCAAAUAAGGAUGACAUGAACAAAUUGAGAAAUGAUCUAAAUCUUU